CCACAUCAAUUAAUGAGGCUUGAUCAGACGCUCCUUCUUUUUUUGAAUUUCUUAUUUUCUGAUUUUACUUCUUUUAUUUCCAUUAUUUUCAAAAAUUCAUAUCUUCUUCAUUUUUAUUCCAAAAAAUAUGGGACCAAUUGCAUUCUUCCUCAAAUAAUUUCUAGUUUCUAAUUUUGAUUUUUAAUCUUUUUUAUUUUGUCAUUUGGUAUUUUUUGUGAAUUUUCUCUUUUCUGGUUAUUU
RNAcentral lists this long non-coding RNA (240 nucleotides) under Lathyrus oleraceus (garden pea). RNAcentral's name for it is "Pisum sativum (pea) long non-coding RNA (PSAT_LNC016089)". The record is from RNAcentral. Lineage: Eukaryota; Viridiplantae; Streptophyta; Magnoliopsida; Fabales; Fabaceae.